RNAcentral lists this long non-coding RNA (452 nucleotides) under Equus asinus (donkey). Its description in RNAcentral is "lncRNA (ENSEASG00005033561.1)". Lineage: Eukaryota; Metazoa; Chordata; Mammalia; Perissodactyla; Equidae. The record is from RNAcentral.
GUUCACACCAAGCCUGCAGACCAUGUGCUAGGUACUUACUUGGCAAACGGCCAAGGGAAAAGAGACCGAAACUACAGCACAGCCAUCACCUAAAAAGCCAGCUGUGCUUUCUCUGUAUCCUUCUACCCUAACAGUAAAACCCUGCGCAGAGAAGGGGGUGUGUGAGGAAGAAGCCAGAAGACCGCGCCCCUCCUUCUAGCCUUAAAGGCACAUGGGAUGAUCGCACCUCGUCAUACCCUUGAAGUGGAGAUAUGACUAUGUCACUUGCUUUGGACAGUGAAAUGUGAACAAAAGUGAUUUGCGAGCCAGUACAUGACUAUGAAUGCACUCCCUUCUCCUGCUACAGUGAUUAGGGAAACCACUAUUGACGUGGUGGUACCACAAGACUGAAGCAGCCUGAACUGCUAGUAAUACAUGUAGGAGAGCUGCUCUGGAAGUUUCCCCAAAUCCAC